RNAcentral lists this ribosomal RNA (639 nucleotides) under uncultured bacterium. RNAcentral's name for it is "bacterial SSU rRNA". It matches the Rfam family "Bacterial small subunit ribosomal RNA", at positions 865 to 1504 of the family's 1533-position model. The record is from RNAcentral.
UUGACCGCCUGGGGAGUACGGCCGCAAGGUUAAAACUCAAAGGAAUUGACGGGGACCCGCACAAGCGGUGGAUUAUGUGGAUUAAUUCGAUGCAACGCGAAAAACCUUACCUACCCUUGACAUGUACGGAAUUCCGCAGAGAUGUGGAAGUGCCCGAAAGGGAACCGUAACACAGGUGCUGCAUGGCUGUCGUCAGCUCGUGUCGUGAGAUGUUGGGUUAAGUCCCGCAACGAGCGCAACCCUUGCCAUUAGUUGCUACAUUCAGUUGGGCACUCUAGUGGGACCGCCGGUGACAAACCGGAGGAAGGUGGGGAUGACGUCAAGUCCUCAUGGCCCUUAUGGGUAGGGCUUCACACGUAAUACAAUGGUCGGUACAGAGGGCAGCCAACCCGCGAGGGGGAGCUAAUCCCAGAAAGCCGAUCGUAGUCCGGAUUGUAGUCUGCAACUCGACUGCAUGAAGCCGGAAUCGCUAGUAAUCGCGGAUCAGCAUGUCGCGGUGAAUACGUUCCCGGGUCUUGUACACACCGCCCGUCACACCAUGGGAGUGGGUUCCACCAGAAGUAGGUAGCCUAACCGCAAGGGGGGCGCUUACCACGGUGAGAUUCAUGACUGGGGUGAAGUCGUAACAAGGUAAGUAUU